GAUGAACGCUGGCGGCGUGCCUAAUACAUGCAAGUCGAGCGGACGGACGAGAAGCUUGCUUUUCUGAUGUUAGCGGCGGACGGGUGAGUAACACGUGGAUACCCUACCUAUAAGACUGGGAUCACUUCGGGAAACCGGAUCUAAUACCGGAGAAUAUUUUGCACCGCAUGGGUCAAAAGUGAAAGACGGUCUUGCUGUCACUUAUAGAUGGAUCCGCGCUGCAUUGGCUAGUUGGUAAGGUAACGGCUUACCAAGGCAACGAUGCAUAGCCGACCUGAGAGGGUGAUCGGCCACACUGGAACUGAGACACGGUCCAGACUCCUACGGGAGGCAGCAGUAGGGAAUCUGCCGCAAUGGGCGAAAGCCUGACGGAGCAACGCCGCGUGAGUGAUGAAGGUCUUCGGAUCGUAAAGCUCUGUUAUUAGGGAAGAACAUAUGUGUAAGUAACUGUGCACAUCUUGACGGUACCUAAUCAGAAAGCCACGGCUAACUACGUG
Molecule: ribosomal RNA, 497 nt
Filed under: uncultured bacterium
Lineage: Bacteria
Description: partial 16S ribosomal RNA
Rfam family: Bacterial small subunit ribosomal RNA
Source: RNAcentral